Molecule: long non-coding RNA, 1014 nt
Organism: Schistocerca americana (American grasshopper)
Lineage: Eukaryota; Metazoa; Arthropoda; Insecta; Orthoptera; Acrididae
Exons: 2
Source: RefSeq, a predicted model, not a curated record
AGAAAGAUAGCGGACGCAGGACAUGAAAGGUGCUAAAGUCUGAGGAAAGUGGCAACUUCCAGCCAAGUCUGCAAAAGAAGCACACACGGGUCAGUUCUCUGAGCUCAUCGGUUUUGUCUUUAGCGUAAGCAGCCAAGCAUCAAACAAUGUCUGGUCCUCACGAUGGUCCCCCUCAUCAUGGGCCUCCUCAUCAUGGUCCACCACAUGAUGGACCACCUCAUGAUUGGCAACCACAUGAUGGACCACCACACCAUGGACCACCUCAUGAUGGCCCUCCUCAUUUUGGACCCCCACCUCACCAUGGACCACAUCAUGAACCUCCUCCAGAACCUGACUCAUGCUGCUGCACAAUAAUUUGAUGGAAUUUCUACCACAACUGUUCAACAAAGACUUAUGGAAUAUAAAAAAAAGUAAACAUAUUCCCUUGACUAGUGAUACUACAACAGUUUCCAAAAACUAUAAUAUGACUGUUUUACUGAAUUUAUGGUUUUGAAAUGCUGUCUUCAGAAUUUAUCAUAGACAUUUGUCAAGAAGUAAAGGAUAUUUUUUUAUUUUAUUUAUAAAUUUGUGUAUGCUAAUUAAACUCAUGUAUGCUAAUUACAACUCAUUCUUAAAUCAACAUUAUUAUAACUCUGUCAAGAUCCACAGGUACUUGAUACUGUGUUUAUUGAAUUUUUUUAAAGGAAAUAUCAUAAAACUGUGCUAGUAAAUUUGUUACUGACUAUUUCUUCAAAGGAUAUCCCAUAAUGUCAGGCUAUAUGACACAAAUGAGUAAGAUUAUUAAAAGGCCAAGCCAUUUGAGAAUCAGCUAAAUCUGUAAACUUGUCAAUAUAUCAUGAAAUAUACUUCAUUCCCACAUUUGCAAAAUAAAUUUUUUUUUAAAAACUGGACACACCAUUUCCGACACACAAAAUGUGAGCACUGUUAACUUUCAGACUUAUUGAAUCCAGUUGUUACUGUGUUUAACACUUCAUAUUUUCCUGUAGCUAAUAAAUUUUCCAACAUUUUCCAAGA